GUCGUAAGUCAGCCGCAACAUACC
RNAcentral lists this non-coding RNA (24 nucleotides) under Arabidopsis thaliana (thale cress). Lineage: Eukaryota; Viridiplantae; Streptophyta; Magnoliopsida; Brassicales; Brassicaceae. The record is from RNAcentral.